Molecule: transfer RNA, 73 nt
Filed under: bacterium
Lineage: Bacteria
Description: tRNA-Met
Rfam family: tRNA
About the family: Transfer RNA (tRNA) molecules are approximately 80 nucleotides in length. Their secondary structure includes four short double-helical elements and three loops (D, anti-codon, and T loops).
Source: RNAcentral
CGCGGGGUAGAGAAGCAGUUAUCUCGUCAGGCCCAUAACCUGAAGAUCGGGGGUGCAACUCCCUCCCCCGCAA